RNAcentral lists this long non-coding RNA (20983 nucleotides) under Homo sapiens (human). RNAcentral's name for it is "non-protein coding lnc-MON2-2:9". The stretch from base 1160 to 1246 matches the Rfam family "let-7 microRNA precursor family". The record is from RNAcentral. Lineage: Eukaryota; Metazoa; Chordata; Mammalia; Primates; Hominidae.
ACAACGUGUCCGCUUAGGCGGCGAUAUGCGCCGCCAUCUUCUUUGCGGGCAAAGGCCGAAAAAAGUUUGGGACUCCACUCCCCCCCGCUGAGCCGAUGGAGGGCAUCGCCCGCUGCCUCAGCACUCUGGUGACGUGGAAUCGGGGUCCCCUCUUUCAGGGCUGAUUUCUGGUAGCACGCUGACGCCUGCCAAGGCAGGGAAAGGGGACGCCGCCUCUGUCCCGGAUGUAAGAUGGCGGCGCGGGGGGCGGCCUGGCGGGGCGGUCACGUGGUGAGGAGUAGCGCGCGAGCCUCCUUAAGUGAUCUCUAAGGUUCGUCCGGACGCACAGGAGCAGCGGAGCGCGAGACGGGUCUUGUGUCCGCACGCGUCGAGUCGUCGCAGUCGCCACCCGGGCCAUCGCCGGGCCCGGUUUCACUGUUAAGGGGUUUUCGUUUGUUCCGUUUUCGCCUCCUGUAGAGCUGAACGGGAAUUCCCCGAAGGGUGCUGGGGAACGGGUGGCCUGGGGACUUCCCGGCUAUGCCUUGGCUGCUGUUUGGCGGAGCCGGCGGCAGCCUCUGCGGGAUGCCCGCCGGCGAUUAUCGGCGCCGAGAGCGGGCCGGCGGCGGGUUCGACAGCGCGGCGCGGGUGGGGGCCCGGGUACCGGACUCGGCCGCAGCCCAGCCCCCACCGGGGACUCGGAGCAGGGAGGGGCGCGAGCGGCGCAGCUCGGGACGUGGCGGCAGCUCCUAGCGGGCGAAGCGCGGGAGCGCUGCUCGCUGCCUCUCGGGGGCAGUCCAGAACCAGUUGGUGUCUGACUGCGCUUUUGCCGCCCAUUUCCUGCUUUCGAGCGGCUGAGGCGACGCGCUCCCCUCGGGCAGUGGAGGGAGCGGCUCUCUCCGCAGGACACCGCCGCUUUUCUCUCUUCAGAGCGGUGGCUGACGUACAGAACGCCGGCUGUAUCACCCGGGCGCCGGCGCCGCCUCUCAUCCCCGUAGCUCUCGGGGCGCGCCGGGAGUAGCCGAGCCGCUGGGUGCUGGGCGGGGUCUCCGGGCGCGGCGCGGGGGGAAGGCAAAGGAAAAGAAGGGGCGGCGGGCCGACGUCGGCGGCGAGGAAGGACGGAGGAGCGCCGGAGCCGCUUUGCUGCCCUCCGCGUGGUCCCGUGCCUCCCCGACACCAUGGCCCUGGCUGAGGUAGUAGUUUGUGCUGUUGGUCGGGUUGUGACAUUGCCCGCUGUGGAGAUAACUGCGCAAGCUACUGCCUUGCUAGUGCUGGUGAUGCUCAGCGCCGCGGAGGACAAUGGCUGGGAAUCCCCUUUGUUUUCCGGGGCGCUGCCUGGGGACAGCCCGCGAAGCCUCGGCGCCCGGCCGGCGCGGCCACCACGGAAACCGUUAGUUUCACAUUUUCCUAGAAGGAAUUGAGGGGAGUGGGGUGGACCGCGAUGCAUUUUAAAGGUUGGGAAAGAGCUAAGCCAUUGGAUUCCUUUUCUUGAAGGAAGGAGUGGAAUUGUGUAAGAUAAUUGAUACAGAUAACUUUUUCACCCUAAAAAAUUCUAACACUUCUUUCAGCAGUUAAAUGCCAAAUUUAGUGUGUACCUGUUUUACUUCAUUCUUUAGCUGUAGGUUGGAGUGGUGUGAGCGAUCUGCAGAACUGGCAUUAGAGGGGCAGAAGAAGUAGACCUGAUAAUUAAAGUUUAUGCCUUAACAUUUUAGAUCUGGUUUCUGAUAUGCUCUCUUAGUAAAUCUGAGUGUGUCUUUAAAAACGUAAACCCAAAGCAAUUUAAAGUUUCUCUUUAAACUUUGCAACUCGCGAAUGAGAAGAUUGAAAUUAUUUGUAGGUAAUUGCACUAUUCCGAUUUUUUAAUGUAUGAGGCAAACAAAUAAAUUCUAUGUACAGUGUGCUGUGAAUGGUUUUGUUUUUUGUUUUUUCUUUUUAGUUUAACCUUGGGGCUCAGAUUCUGCUGGUGUGGUGGGUUGGUUUUUUGGUUUUUAUGGCCUUUGAUUCUAAUGUUAUGUGGUACUUACAUCUUUGAGGUUUUGUAUGGGAGAAGAGGACUAGGAAUUGAAAGUGGUUUCUAGAUUUGAGUUUAAAAUCUACUAACACUCAUUUUGAUUCCUGAGUGGCCACUACUCCUAAUAGGAAAAUACCUUUGCAUAGAGAAAAAAGGUAGUUUGGAUAACUAAUGAAAAUACUCAGUGCUCUAAUACCCUGAAGUCUGCGUGGAAAACAAGAUACUUGUAUUUUUAUUUUAUUUUCACUGAGGGAAGUAAGUGGUCAGUUUUAGUACUUUUCGUUGAAAACUGAUCUGUAUUUGUACAGAAUAAGUAGUUUUGAAUAUAAUGUAAUCGCAGUUUUCUAUGGUUUUCUGAUGCUCAGUUGAAAAACAAAUAAGGCAGUUCUUUAAACCAACCAAACCCUUCAGCAGGAGUUUGAUGCUUUUAUCAUUCAAAAGUGAUCUAAUAUAUGUGCCUUGAUUGGGUUUGGUUUAGCCUUGAGAAUAACCUUACUUAAUCUGAUCUCAUCAGGAUGGAGCCGCCUCAUUGUGGGAAGGGCGGUGAAGAACCUUAUCUUGAAUCUUAAGAUGCAGAAAAUGCUUGAAUGUUGGCUCUUGAAGUUUGCUUUUCUUGAUAGCAACGCAGAGUAAAUUCAGGGCUUUGUUAAGUGCUUGUUUUCUUAAAUAAUGAAAACCUCUGCGGUGCUGUGUCAAAUCUUGGUUUAUGGAGAAACUAAUCAUAACAUGCUAAUUUCAUUAUGAUUUUAUUUUCCAAAACACUUCAUUCAACCAACCGAGGUAAUCUUCCAACCCACUACACUCUAACAUUUUUAUGGAGAAUCAACGGUUGUUAAUCUGCACCCCAAAGUAUAACAAAUUCUGCUGGUAAUUUAAACUUUAAGCGGAUAAGCACACCAGAAAUGCUCAAUGUCCUAUACAGAUAAACUAUUCAUACUUUAUAUCUUGUGUUUUUAAAGUAAAUUUUAUCCACAACUACAUAUUGCCCAAAUAGUAGUAACAUUUUUGAGUUAUUGGAUGUAAAGGUACUUUGAGAGGUUAACUGUUUCCUAAGUUACAAGAGAAAAUACUGCCACCAGCUGACUUGUUUUAAUCCCAUAGCUAUAUUUCUGCUCUAAUCUCCAGUUUUAAAAAUGAUCUGCUAAUUACAUUUCUCUACACACCAACUGAAAAUUACCAACUGAACAUUUUCCUUGUUGACAGUUUCCCACAAGAUGAAUUUGAUUUAUCAAAAAUACAGCUUUCUGAACUUAGUAUUAUUGACAUUUACUUGGUGCAGUUAACUUUUUUGUUAAAGGUCUGUUGUCAAGCAUUUAAGUAAUUUGUAGUUGUAAAAAGCCACUGGUGGAAAGUAAUAAGGCAGUAUUUUGAGUGCCCUUCUCAAUAAGUACAUACUAAACCAAAGGAAAGCUGGGUUAUGGUAAUAACAUUUUAAUAAAUGUCAUCCUCAAUUGGAAAUGGAGACUGUGUUAUGGUAUAUAGGACACACCAUAUGGAGAAGAUUCUUGGAGAACACAGUUUUGCUUCAUACUUUAAAAUUCCUGAUUGCUAAUCUUACAUAGAAAAGCUUUGUUUACAAGCUAUUUUAAAAUAACCUUUUGGCAGGUAGGCAAGACUGACUGGCAAGGGUGCACUCAAGACAUUGUGUCUUGUGGAGUGGUCCCCAAAGAAUUCCUGACAGAGGCACCUGACAGCACAAAUUAGCUCUUCAGUGUAUAAGCACAAAGCACCAAAAAGGCUGAGAUUUCUUCCUAGCUACAUGCUCUCUCCCGCUAUUGUUUAUUACACUCCACCCGCUCCAUGGUGAAGCUGACAAAGGAGAUACUAUUAAUUUCCUUUCCCACUGAAUAAUCCCCUCUGUAAUUUCUACAACAAAAGGUAAAUAGGACAAUCAUCUUCGAAAAUGAAUUAGGCCAGAUUGGUAGUACCCAAAAGGAGAAUUAAUGACCAUUGUCAUAAACUCUGAAAAGCUGUUGGCGCUACUGAUAAUCUAGAUAAUUAAGCAAAAAUUUGAAAAUUAUUUCUAAGAUUGUCUAAUGAAGUUCACUAAGUGUUUUUGUUAGGUUAUCACUAUUGGGCACCAUGGGGAAAGCAAAAUAAUUGUAUAGCUAGGUCAUUGCCCCAAAGGAAAACAGGAAAGAUGUCACAUGAAGUGUUUAAGAAUCAAAAUGUAAUUAGCUGAGUGUGGUGGUGCCUGCCUGUAGUCCCCGCUGAGGUGGGAGGAUCUCAUGAGCCCAGGACUUUGAGGCUGCAGUGAGCCAUGAUUGCACCACUGCAGCCUGGGCAACAGAGUGAGACUGUCAAAAAAAAAAAAAAAUCAAUGUGAGCUCAGUGCAGUGAUGUGCACCUAUAAUCCCAGGUACUCUGGAGGCUGAGGCAGGAGAGUCACUGGAGCCCAGUAGUUUGAGACCUGCCUGGACAAAAUAGUUGAGAUUCUGUCUCAAGAAAUUAAAUAAAUAAUCAAAAUGUGGGCAGGUGAGAAAAACAUUAGUGACCUACUUCACUUUUGAGACCUGGCAGAAAAGUGAUUGAAUGAGCUAAGGGGGAAGGGAAGUAUGGAACACUUCAAAUAGUAUAGUAAUUUAGGGAGUUCUUUUGGUUAGGUUUGUUGCCUGAGAUCUUGGAGAUGACAAUCGCAGUGAUAAUGAUACUCUAGGUGAUUUACAGUUUAGUUUCAUAUUAUCUGCUACAAAUACGCUGGGAGUGUCAUCAGAAUUAAAAGAAAUAUUAGCAGUUCUACAUGGAAUUUAUGUGUUUUCUUAUCUCAAGUUGAAAAUUUUUUUUUUGGUUAAAUUUGUUUUACAUUUACCUUUCUUUAAAAGUGCUGUUUUGUUCAGAUGUAAUGGAAUUGUGCCUACACAGGAUUUUUGGCCACUAAAUUUGUGAAUAGGGUCCUUUAAAGGCAUACUAUUGACACCCGAUAGUGUAACUUUAGUCUUUUAGUUAUAUCAAAUAUGAACAAACCUAAGACACAAUCUUGUGUUUUUAAGGAUAAGUUCCUAGUUCUUUCCUCUUAUUCAACAUCAAACAACACUUACAGAAAAUAUUAUUUUCUUCGAAUCAGGUUUACAAAUUCCGUUAGUUCCAUUAUAAUAUAAUUGAGAGUAUUUUAUCAUGGAAGUCAGGAGUUCGCAGAAAGCCAAGCUGUGUGAUAUGUCACAGAAAAUUCAAGUAAAUUAAGGACUAAAAACUGUCCACAGACAUUGACAGUUUAGAUCAUAUAUGUAGUUGUAAUGUGUUUUCUGUUAUACCUGAAAAAUCCCUUAACUGCUCUUAGGUUGAGUAAUAAACAAUUAACGGGUGUUUUAUCUCACUUUGAACAUAACUACCAAAAAGGUAUUAAGAUUCAGAGAUUGCUGUUUUAAUAUUCUGCACAUAGUGUAUUUUAAAGCCCUUGUUAAACAGAAGUAUUAUGUAGAUACAGGCAUGGGCUAGUUUUAGUCAUAAUAGUAACACUGACUUAAUGUUACCGUAAUAGAUGGCCGAAAGAGUUGACUAAACUCUAAAAACAGAUACAUAAGCAAAUUAAAGUAUAUUUUUCUGUUUUAAAAACAAAUUUACAUACUUUUUAAGAGUUCGGACGAAAAACCUAAGAAUAAGAAUCCUAUCUGCCAUUCAUUUCUUUUUGUAGUGAAUGAAGCUUAUACAGAAUAAAUAAGUUCCAGAUAAAUUCAACAGGUGAAUCGGAUACCUGCUCUAUGUCAGGUGCUGGGAAUAUACAGAAGAUAAAACAAAAACAAACACAAAAAAACCAACUCCACAUUAUGGAAUUCACAUUGUAAAAGGAAUACAUUUCCCUAUAAUAAUAAUUACAGACAUGUAGUGAGGACAAUCCAUGGGCCACCUGAGUUGUUUUCAAACCUGAGUUCCACUCAUACACCUGUUCUAGAGCCCUUGCUCCAAAACCACUAUUGAUAUUCCAGUUGUAUGUUUUAAAAAAGCCAUUUCCCAUUGAUUUUUGUUAUAAUUGUACCUAUUUUUUUUAAAAAAAGAUGAUAAUUUAGUUUCACCAGGGCUGUUUUCUUUCUUUCUUUUUUUUUUUUUGAGACGGAAUCUUGCUCUUGUUGCCCAGGCUGGAGUACAAUGGCACGAUCUCGGCUCACUGCAACCUCCACCUCCCAGGUUCAAGCAAUUCUCCUGCCUCAGCCUCCUAAGUAGCUGGGAUUACAGGCGCCCGCCACCACGCCCAGCUAAUGUUUGUAUUUUUAGUAGAGAUGAGGUUUCACCGUGUUGGCCAGGCUGGUCUCGAACUGCUGACCUCAUGAUCCGCCCACCUUGGCCUCCCAAAGUGCUGGUAUUACAGGCAAGAGCCACCGCGCCUGGUCAGCCAGGGCUGUUUUCUAUCUCCUAAACAGGAUAACACUGCAGGAGGUACUUCACCUUUAAGAGCUUACAAUGUUGUAGCAAGUGCCCAACUACCUUGUGGAGGAAUCUAGACCCCAUAGCCAGACAUCACAUUUUAUGAUGUACACUCUAAACAUGGUAAAAGUUCAAAGAAGCAGGAGUGCACUGUGAGUAGGUAGAGAAUGCAUCUCUCUGGAGCAGAAACGUCAGAUUAUUUUAACAGUAUAAGCUAUGGAGAGCGAUUAUGAGCCUUGUGGUGCCUGAGAACAGGAAAGAAAGAAGUAUCCUACCUUCCUUAUAUAAUUUAUACCUCGGGGUAACUAAAUGGUUGUGAGGGAGAUUUCCUCAUUACAGAAUAAUUCCAGUUUCACAGUGCAGAACGUCUGAUAGAAUGUUAACAUUUACAACAGCUCAUGAAAUAAAGCUAGACCUCUUCAAUGGCUAACUUAAUGGUUGAAACCAUUAAGUAAAAUGCUGAUGGAGAAGUAUGUGAUUAAUGAAUCAGUAGUAGAGAAGUAUUUAAUUCAUGGAUCAGGGCAACCGCACUUCAACUCACUGAUCAAUUUUAAUAUUACAAAAACAGAUAACUAGAUAUUCUAGUUCAAAUAAUUGAACUAGAUAGUGGUUUACUAAGACUCUAGACUCUCAUCAAGUUUCUAGAUCUGAUGAGUAGUUUAUUAGAAAUUUAAGAUAUAGGGGAACAUUGUUAAAUCACCACAGGAGCACAAGUAGCAAAAAUCCACACUGAAAUUCUAUAAGACAAAUGAUCUAAGGAAAAAAAAUUUUUAAGGAAAGAAGGGCAGGAAAACCUGUAGAGUAAAAUGAAUUUAAAGAUAUUUAUCGGUUUAAUUGCAAUGUAUAGACCUUGUUUGGAUCCUAAUUUGAUCAAAGCUAACCACAAACACAUUUAUGAGACAAUUGGAGAAAUUUUAAAACUGACUGAAUAUUAGAAGUUAAAGAAUUGUUUUUGAAAAUGGUAUUGUGGUUAUAGUUUUUAAAAAUCUUUUGGUAUAUGCAUACUAAAUAAUUUACUAAUGAAUGAUAUGAUCGGACUUUGCUUCAUACUUUAAUCCAUGGGGGAUGGGAAGCAUAUAUGGGAGUACACAGGAAAGAAGCUUGUCUUAGUGUUGGUAUUGAUGAUGGGUGAUGGGUAGAUGGGUUUUUUUAUUCUGUUCUACUUUUGUGUAUAUUUAGAAUGUUCCAUAAUAAAAACUCAAAAACACGUAAAACAAGACAAAGAAAGAUUCCUGUGGUUUGGAGACAACCAAAGCAAAGUGAGAACACAUACAAAACCAUGUGAAGGUCAGUAAGGUGCAGCUAAGUGUUCUUAGGGUAUCCUCCCAGGCCACUUUGAAAUACUACCUUGAAGUCUAUCAGAGGAUCAGUCCAUUUUCCUUAUACUCCAGAUCAAAUAUAUUGACUAAUAUAGUGCAAGUUCACACAUACCCACAACAAGGAUACCAUUGUUUAAAUAUAUCUAUUAUAAUUAAAACUAGUAAUUAGAAUUAAUAAGAGAUGUGUUGAGAACUUUUACUAAGUACUUUGUAUGUAUAAAGUACUUGCUUUAAUGUUAGCCUAUUAAACUUAAUAACUUUCCAUUUUAAAUAUUAUUUUUCUAGUUCCAUAGUCUUUUUCUAGAAGUAUGCCUUAUUUCACAUUCUUAAACAAGUACUCUAAGCAAAAUCAGCUCACUAAAAAAAUUUGUUUGGCUUUAACUGCUUUCAAUAAGCUUAGUUCUGUUUUUCCUCUUUUAUUUUGUUAUUCCUCCUGUCUAACUGAAACUUUGUACCCUUUAGCCAACAUCUCCCCAGUACCUUACCCCCUCUGUCUAUAAGCCCCUGGUAACACUAUUCUCUCCUUUCUGCUUCUCUGAGUUUGACUUUUUUAUAUUCCACAUAUAAAUGAGAUCAUGUAGUAUUUGUCUUUCUAUGCCUGGCUUAUUUAGUGUAAUGUCCUCCAAGUUUAAACAUGUCGUUGCAAAUGAUAGAAUGUUUGUCCUUUUAAAUGGAACUCUAAUAAUUGUUCUAGCAAUUUAUUCGAUUUUUUGUUUCCAGUUAGAUUCCUUUUUUCUUAACCUUCUUUGUGUGUGUGUGUGUGUGUGUGUGUGUGUGUGUGUGUGUUUAGACAGGGUCUCACUGUCAUCCAGGCUGGAGUGCAGUGGCGUGGUCACAGCUCACUGCAACCUUCAACUCCCAGGCUCAAGCGAUCUUUCCACCUCAGCCUCCUGAGUAGCUAAGACUACAGGCACACGCCACCACCCCUGGCUAAUUUUUGUAUUUUUUGUAGAGACAGGGUUUUGCCAUGUUGCCCAGGCUGGUCUCAAAACUACAGGGCUCAAUUGAUCGCCCACCUCCGUCUCCCAAAGUGCUGGGAUUAUAGGUGUGAGCCACCGCGCCCAGCCCCCAUCAAUAUAUGUUAACACUUAGCAGUUAGUUCAUUGUGCAUCUACAUAUUACCAGUGUUAUUAAUCUAAUUUAAAUAUUUAACUGAGUGCUGUUACUGCUUUGAAUAUAUUAGCACACUACAAAGGUAAAAAAAUAUAACCAACCUGUGGAUCAAAAGAAACAAUGAUUUUGCAUUUUACUAAGCACAGAAAUUAUCAUGUUUUUGAAUGUGUACCACAAAUGCCAGGCAUACACACACAUAUAUAAAUAAGGUUGAAGGAGGCCGGGCGCGGUGGCUCACGCCUGUAAUCCCAGCACUUUGAGAGGCCGAGGCAGGUGGAUUACUUGAGGUCAGGAAUUCGAGAGCAGCCUGGCCAACAUGGUGAAACCUGGUCUCUACUAAAAAUACAAAAAAUUAGCCGGGCAUGAUGGUGCAUGCCUGUAGUCCCAGCUACUGGGGAGGCUGAGGCAGGAGAAUCGCUUAAACCCCAGAGGUGGAGGUUGCAGUGAGCUGAGAUCGUGCCACUGCACUUCAGCCUGGGUGACAGAGUGAGACUCUAUCUAAAAUAUAUAUAUAUAUAAGGUUGAAGGAAUAAACACAUUGAAGCAUUAUUACAAAUAUAAGAUACUUUUUUUUCUUUUCUUGUUUAAAAAUAAAUAGAGGCAGGGUCUCACUUUGUUGCCCACGCUGGUCUUGAGCUCCUGGGCUCAAGUGAUCCUCCUGCCUCAGCCUCCUAAAGUGCUAGGAUUACAGGCGUUAGCCACCACACUUGGCCAAGAGAGUUCUUUCAAAUUUACCAAUAUUAUCACUAUUAAAUAGCUUUUAUUUUGAAGUAUAUAUCCUAGUGACUUUUUAACUUCAUAUAUCUUAUCCUGUAUAUACGUAGUGAAUCACUAUCUGGACUCAUUAGUUAGACGUUGAACUUAGCCGUGACCUUAUCUACUACAUACAUGGGCAUUUUCUGUUGUUAUUAACCCUGGGACUUAAGUUGCCUUAGAAAUAUUAAUGAUAAUUGCUAUAUGUAUAGAUGUUACCACUAAUAUCUUUAGUAUUCUCUGCUGACUAUCCAUGAACCCUGUGGAGUUUAUUAUGCUGGAAGUCACAGUGUAUUCCUUAAACCCUUCUGAUUCUGCCUUAUGGCCUCCUCCCUUGUUGAGUAUCUUCUUAAAAGGAAUCAGAAACCACUCUUCCCACAUUCUCCAAUAGUCAAGUCACACCAUGAACACGGUUCCAAGAAGCGGAAAGGUCCUCUACCACUUCAAGGAAAUUAGGAAGAAAAAAAAAGAGAGAAAAACAACGUGUUGUUCCAGAAGGUAGUAUGCAAGUUCUCAAAUGACCUCUAGGCAUUUUGGUUCAAGGUCCAUCUUUUUCCUUUAUCAUGUCACUCUUCUUUUUUCCUAUUAAAGAAUAAUUUUUAUAUCUUUUUAUGUGACUGGUAAAAAUAAUAUUCCCCUUCUCCAAAAGUCAUGGUCAGUUAGCUAUAUAAAGGUAGUUGGUAAUGAAACUUCAUGUUCUUGUGGUUUUUAAAAUACAGAGUCUCACUCUGUUGCCAAGGCUGGAGUGCAGUAGCAUGAUCAUGGCUCACUGCAGCCUCGACUUCCUGGGCUCAAGUGAUCCUCCUGCCUCAGAGCCUUGAAUAACUGGGACUACAGGUGCACAUCACCACAUCCAACUAAUUUUUAAAAUUUUUUGUGGAGACAGAGUCUCACUCUGUUGCCCGGGCUGGUCUUGAACUCCUGAGCUCAAGUGAUUCUCCCAUCUCAGCCUCCCAAAGUGCUGGGAUUACAGAUGUGAGCCACCAUGCCCAGCCUUGUUUUUUUUGUUUUUUGUUUUUUGUUUUUAAUGUAAGAAAAGGUAAGAAAAAUAUGGUGGUGGUCUUACAGGUACAUAUGUGGUUUAUGCACUGUGAAGCUGUUGAAAGGAGUGGAUGAUGAUGAAAUGCAUGCAGUUGAGCUAGGCUCAGUGGAAAGUCAUGUUGGGGAACAGAUGGAGUUUUGAAGUGCUAAGAGAAUGAUUUAAUGAAACUGGGGUCAUAAAAUUGCUAGAAAGAAUGUAGGCUGAUUUCUUCCAGAAUUUAAAGGCUCUGGGAAUAGGAAGCCAGAAGAGUAAGAACAGAAACAGAUCAGCUUGAACACCAGAGUUGCGCCUUUGGAUGAACUCUGGGGAAAGGGUAUGUUUUCAGAGAAAAAUAAAAAAGGAUCUGGGAUCAUUUACUCUAUCAUUUGUUUAACAAUUAUUAGUGUGUGUGUGUGUGUAUGUGUGUGUAUAUAUAUAUAUUUUUUGAGAUGGAGUCUAGCUCUAUUGCCCAGGCUAGAGUGCAAUGGUGCGAACUCGGCUCACUGCAACCUCUCUCUCCCUCCUAGGUUCAAGAGAUUCUCCUGCCUCAGCCUCCCAAGUAAUUGGAAUUACAGGCCCAUGCCACCCCACCCGGCCAAUUUUUUUUGUAUUUUUAGUAGAGAUGGGGUUUUGCCAUGUUGGCCAGGCUGGUCUCAAACUCCUGACCUCAAGUGAUCCGCCAGCCUCGGCCUCCCAAAGUGCUGGGAUUACAGGCACGAGCCACCAUGCCGGACCUAUUAGUGUAUUUACUGGAUAUCAAGAUGACUAAGAAAUAGCACUUGCCUUGAAGGAGCUUUUCUAUUUGAGGAAAAAGACAUGUAUAUAAAUAACUGCAAACAGAAUGAAACAAGUGUUAUGUAGAUCUACAUACAGUGACAUGCCAUGGGAAUGCUGAACACUGAGCAACAGUUUCAACUAGCGAAUUGGCACAGGAAACAUGAAAAAUAAGCGUAUUUUCAAUAUGACAAGAAUGGUCAUUUCUGGAUAUAAGAACAAGAGAAAAGUCAUGGGUAUAUGGAAAGGCAUGGACUCUUCAAGGAAGAGCAAGUAGUCUAAUGUAGAUGCUGUAUAGGAAUCUGGGGACAAAGGGACAGAUAAGUGGUGUAGACAAAGAGGCUGGAAAUAGGGUUAUGGGCUAGAUCAUGAGUGACCUGUAAGCAUUAGGAGUUUUGAUUUAUUUUGGAAUAAGAAACAUUUAUGGCUUUUGAGAAGGAAAAUUACACAAGGGAAAAGAAAGGAUUUUUAUUUUUUAUUUUUAUUUUUGGAGAGAUGAGAUCUCACUAUGUUGCCCAGGCUGGUCUUGAACUCCUGAACUCAAGCAAUCCUCCCGGCUCGGCCUCUGAAACUUCUAGGAUUAUAGGCGUGAGCCACUACGCCCAGCCAGGAUUAUGUUUUUUUAUGGGAGGGAUGAGAAUAUUGGUAGGUGGGUAGAGGAUAAAUGAGAGAGAAUAUGUAUAUGUGAGAUUGAAUAUAUAAUAGAAAAAAUUGAUAGGACAAGUCCUGCGUUAUUACUACAUUUUAUGAGGAAAAUCUAUAUAUUAGAAGCACUUUAAAGGUAUAUUUGCUAUUCUAGCUGUGGAAACCAUCUGAAAACACAUUUGAAAGUGCUUUGAAACAGGGGUCAACUUCUCUGCAAAGGGCCAGAGUAUGUUUAGCUUUGCGGGCCACAGAUGGCCUCUGUUGCAUAUGCUGCUGGGUCUCCACCUUCCUCCUCCUUUUCUUCCCUUCCUCUUCCUUCUUUUUCUUCUUCUCUUUCUUCUUUCUCUUUAAAAGCAUAAAAUCAUUCUCAGCUCUUGGGCCAUACAGAAACAGGCCAUAGGCCAGAUUUGACUUCUAGGCCAUAGUUUGCCGACCCUCCAUUUUAGAACUUAGCUUUCCUGAAAGAGCAUUUGGGUCUCUCUCUCUCUUUCCCUUUCUCUCUCUCUGUCUCUCUCUCUCUCUCUUUCAGUAAGUGAAGUAAGAAAUAGGUCUUUCUUGAGGAACAAAAAGCUGAAAUAAUUUCAUGCAUUUGAAUAUGACCCUUGACCUGUUUUUGUCCAUCAUCACUCAGAUUUGUGGCUGCAACCACCAACCAAUUUGGUGCCAUAGGAUAUAGCAUAAUUUUUCAGCAACAGUUCAUAAGCUUUUCUUUUUGUUCUUUUUCCUUCUUCCAGUUGUGGUGGUUUAAAAACAUGUCUGCAAAAUCUUUGACACUUCUCAGUAAAAAAUAUAGUCUUGUGUUCCCUUUUCUUGAACCUAAGUGGCCUUUGUGCUGCCUCAACAAAUAGAAUAUGACAGAAAAGACACUAUGUGACUUUUGAGACAGGGUCAUAAGAGGUGAUACAGCUUCCCCAUGCCCCUGCAUUUUAGAGCUCUGGGUUGCCAUGUAAGAAUAGCUACCCUGAAGCUACCAUGCUGAAGAGACCACAGGGAAAUCACAUAGAGUUAGAAAGAGGUGUCUGAAGAAGCCCAGCUGCUCCCAAUCCCAGCUAUUUAAGUCCUCCCAGACCAGGUGCCAUAUAUAUGAGUGAGCAAGCCUUCAGAUGGUUCCAGCACCAGCCACCAUCUAGCUGUAAGCUCAUGAGACCCCUUCAACGAAAACCAUCUAGAUUAGCUUAGUCAAGCCCCAGAACCGUGAAAGACAAUAGACUUGCUAUGGAGGUCGCCACAUGCCUCUUUUUUCUCCCUUUGUGAAUGGGAUUAUUUAUAAUGGUUACCCCAUACCUACUCCACUAUGUAUAUUGGGUAUGAGGGAGAGAUAAUUUGUCUCACUAGCUGACAGAUUUUUCAGACCUCAAGGAAUGCCACGUGAGCUGUACUCACAGGACCACACACAAGUAUCUUUAUCCACACGUGACCUGAUUUCACUGAUAAAGUCCUGGACCUUGAGCCUGAGCCCAAUGUCUUAAUAAAUGAGAAUUUCAGAAGGUCUUGGGAGGGGGUGAGUAUAUUUUGCAUGUGGGAAGGAUGUAAAUAAUAUGUGGCCUGAGAGCAGAUUAUGGUGGUUUGAAAAUGUGUCCACCAAUUCUUUAAUACUACUCUCAACAAGAGGUGGAAUCUGUGUCUCUUCCUUUGGAACAUGAGUGGACCUUUGUGAUUAAAUGCAGCAGAAGGAUGCUGUGUGAACUCUGAGACAGGGUAAUAAGGGGUGAUACAGCUGCCACCUAGUUCUUUCUCAGAACAUGUGCCUUUGGAGCCCUGAGCUGCCAUGGAAGAAAACCACCUACCCUGAAGCCACAACACUGGAAAGACCAUGUGGAAGAACCACAGAGAGAGAGAAGAGGACCAAAUGUGUGAGCCUUCCCAGCCCAGGCUCCAAAUAUGCAAGUAGUAAGCCUUCAUUUCUUUUUGGUUUUAAUUUUUUUUUUUAAAUAAAUCGAAAUGGGUUCUCACUAUGUUGCCCAGGCUGGUCUUGAACUCCUAAGCUCAAGUAAUCCUCCUACCUCAGUCUCCCAAAGUGCUGGAAUUGUAGGCAUGAGCCACCAUGCCCGGCUGCAAUUAGUAAGUCUUCAGAUGCUUCCAUCACCAGCCACCAUCCGAUGACAACCCCAUGAAUGACCCUCAGCAAGAACUACCUAGCUGAAUCCAGCCAAACUCCAGACCCAUGAGAGAGAAAUAAAAUUGUUGUUUGAGUCACUAAAUACGGAGUAAUUUAUAUUAUCAACAGAUAACUGGAACCACAAGUGUAAUUGUUAAAGGUAAAACUUUGAAUACAUUUAUAUUUGCCUUCUGCCACAUUCCAUAAUUGACUUUUGUUCAUGAACCUAUUGGCAAGUUUGCCUUAUUGCUUUUCCUUCUUCCCUCUUUUUUUUUUUUGUAACUUAAAAAAUCAUAUAAUAAAACAACACAAAAAUGUAUUUGAAUGUAGGUUGAGUGACCGUAAAUAAGCACAAAACUUCUCCUUCCUGUGACUCUCUUGUCUGUAUAUGCCAAGUAUCUAACACAAGGCCUGCCUGGCACAUAAUUUUUUUUUUUAAAUGUUAGUCUCUUUUAUCAUUCUUUUUCCCUGUCAGUGGUAUUAUCUUUACCCAUGGAAUCCAGCACCCUCAUGCUGACUUAUAGUUCCCCAAAGUCCCUAACCUCUACAGUCCUCUCCAACCCCCACCCCAGGCCUCUCUCUAUGUUCCAGACAUUUUCUGGCUUUUUACCAUUAUCCAAACUCUGAACUUAUCUACUUAGUUUUUAUAAAAAAACACAGAGUGACUACAUAGCUAAUAUAAAUAAUGCCAGUGUUAACACAAAAAUUUGACUUGAAUGAUUACAAUAGCAAACUUCAAUGUUUACCCCAUGGAAUAGGCAGAAAAUUUCAAGCACUUUUCUAGGCCACCUGAGUCUAUUUUGAGUAAGGAUCCUUAAGUUGAUACUCAAGUAAUGACAUUGAUGCAAUGUAGAAGACUAUGCUAAAAUUUGUCCUGGCUUCUCUCCAUGCUAUGGGCCAUCUGUAAAGCUUUGGAGUCUAGGUCAGAUGUAUGCGUUGUCUCCUCUUUGCUACCAUUUUUGUACAGAUUUCUAAUCUAAAUAAAAUUAAUGGCAAUAACAGUGUGGAAAGGGAAAGCCUAAAAGAAAGAGGGUUUUUGAAGAGUGGGGGACCAGAAAAGAAGAGGACAAUUUUACCUGAAUUGUUUUACUUUAGAAAAUAAAUUUGUUCAUGUGAUUCUGUGAGUCAAUUUACACAUGUAUAUAAAUACACAUUUCUUUAUUUAACCAUUAUUAUUAUCACUAUGUGAUCCCUCAAUGUGCUGGCUACCACGGGUGUAAGAUAAAUUACAGAAACUCCUUAUUCUGAAGGAUUCCAACAACAAUUUGGCAUUGUGCACUGUAUGGGGCCUGGGAAAAUCCUCUGAUUUGCCAUACCUUAGGAAAGGUCUUUGCAUGAUACUAGGCCAUGUCUCUUACUACAAUGAUGAGCAUUCUUAGAUUUAAAAAUAAUACCAAGCUGUCAGGAAAACUGAAUUCCAUCAAUAAUAACAUCUUUUCAUAAACUGAAAGCUUGCAAAGCCUUAAUUAAAAAAAUGAAUUUAUUACUAAGUGAAUUUAAUUCACAAAAGGAAUUUUCCCCAAUAUUUAGGCUGUUGUUGGUUUUGGCUUUGUUUUUAAUUAACAUUUUUAGUUGUAUGGUUUGAUCAAAUACUGAAUUUGAGUUCAAAGAUACAUUUCCUCUGAGGAUGCAGUCUAAAGAGGCCAAGUAAAUAAUAGAAAAUCAUAGUUUCCAAGUUUCGCAGAACAAAGCUCAGUAGUUCCAUGACUUUUUCAGUGUUCUACAGAAUUGAGCUACUCCCUCUUACACAAAAAAGUGCUCUAAUUUUCAUUUUUUUCUUCUUUGCUCAGUUUCUUCAUUUAUUUGCCUACUUUCUUAAUUUCUUCCUAAGUAAAUAUAUAGCUAUCUUUGAGGAGAAGUGAUGUAACAUCAGAAACAAAGAGUAGACUCACAAUUAGAGCCCACUGACUCAUGGGACUUUAGAUAAACCACUAAUCAGGAAACUGGGGGUGUUAAUGCUGUUUAGUUAGUUGAUUGAGGAGGUGAGGACAAAACCUGGUGACUUCAGGGCCUCAGCAACAGAACUCCUACCUAUUUCCAUUGCUACCACUUACCUUAUGGGCAUUAGAUAAUUCUGCAGUGAGUUAUUCUGUGCAUGAGGGGGCAAAGGCUUUAGAGUCAGGUAGCUGGGGAGUUAUUUUCUCUCUCUGCUAUUUAAUAGCUGUAUGACCUCAGGUGAAUUUCUUAAUCUCCGUUUCCUUGUUUGUAAUACCCAUCAUGAGAAGUUGUUCUGAGGAUCACAGAUACUAUACCUAAAGUACCCAACAAAGUCCUGACACAAGGAAGGUGUUCCAUAAACGGUAGCUAUUUGAAGUAGUCUAAAAGGUCCCUUUCAAAUGUUUAAUACACCCAUAUAAUCCCAAUCUUAAUCUCUCACUCUCUUGUUGGCCCAUCAUUAGAGCACCAGAUCCCCUUGACUGCUUUCCAGGGUAAGGAUGCAAGACCACUGAGAACUGUGCCGCGCUGGUAAGAAGAGGUGCUGAUGGCAUGCUGUUGCCUCUGCCAGACAGACUCUGUCUUUGCUGAAGUGUUUAGUAUUGCUAUUGUGGCAAAUGCCAUUUUAGUCAAAGGCAAUAAAUCUUCCUUUGUUUAAAUGACAGAUGGCUAGGAUUGUUACUUCUGUUUCUAGCAAACCCAGAAAGGGAAAAAAUAAAUUACUGACAUUCAGAGUUCUUGUUUUUUAAGAAUAUUAGGGGGAAAAUGAAAAUAGUAUAGUUUCAGCAAAGUUAUAUAGUUUUUGCAGUCAACAGAAUAAUGGGCCCCCUAAUGAUGUUCACGUCCUAACCCCUAGAAUCUAUGAAUAUGUUAGGUUACAGGGCAAAGGGGAAUUAAGAGUGCAGGUGGAAUUAAGAUUAAUUAGCUGACCUUAAGAUAGGGAAUGUAGCAUAAUUUAUCCAGGUGAGCCCAAUAUAAUCACAAUGGAAGACAGAGACAGAAGAAUCAGAGUCAGAGAAGACGUGGCUACAGAGGAGAGAGUGAUGAGAUGUGAGGAUUCUGCCUGCCAUUGCUGGCUUUCAAGAUGAAGGAAGGGGGCCAUGAACCAAGGGGAUGCCUCUAGAAGCUGGAAAAGGUAGGUGCUAUUAACAGUGAAAUGACAAUGCAAAAGCAAAGCAGAGGAAAGCACCAGCAAAGGACAUGCCUCGCUGACUGCAGAUUACAGUGUCCUCUACUCAAUUCCUAUCUUAAUAUGUAUCACAUGCCCUGCCUGAGAUAAUGAGGACUCUCCCAUUCCCUCAGUCUUCAGGUUGCCUCUACUUCUCUUCCAUUUUCUUUUUCCUUGAUAUGAUCCUCUUCUUUCUCAUUCUUCUCUUCUUUCAUUUCCUGAGUUGUUUUCUCUCCACUUCUUCCCCCUCUACUCUGAUAGGAAAUAUUAUAGCAGUAGCCCAAGCUAGAAGAAAAAGGACACACCUACCAGCUCCCUCCCUCCCUCACAACACCUACACGGCUGCUGGGGAAGCCUUGAAUGAAAGCUAGAAAAGAACAAAUAGGAAAAGAGGCAUUUGAAAACAGAACAGAAAUAGUCACAGACGGGUGACAGGCAGGAGAUGCCACCUCAUUGACAGCUGCCACCAUUUUCCAUAGAGAAGUUAUUCCAUUGUAGUAUACACCAGGGCUGGGUUUAAAUAUUUUUCCUAUGUACUUGGUAGUAUAGUGGAAGCUCCUCCAUUUCUCUAAAUAGUUAACUGCAUACUUAGAGCUCUUGGUAGCGUUUAGAACACGGAGUUAAUUAUUCUGAGUGUACCUAGCCCCAUCACUGUCUGUAAUCUGUACAAAAUUUGAUAAGCCCUUUUAAGGUAGUUAGAUAUUUAUUGAGACUCUGCUGUAUAUUUGGCAGUGCCCCAGAUAUAGGUAGUGGUGGUGACAGCAAGCAAUAGGACCAGUGGAGCCUGCUUUUUAAUAGAGAGUGAUCUCUCUGGUAUUGUUGUAAGUACAGCAUAUAAGCAACUUGAGGUGUUGUCUUAAAGAUGUGAGCUCACCUAAUUUACACAAGAGCAUCAAAGCCAGAAUUCCUCCCCUUGCUGAUGUUAGCCUGUAACUCUGUGCCUCUCAAGUGUAUAACUUCUUCUGUGGGAAUCAUGCUUCUGAAGCAUGAGGAAAGAACACACCCGUGUUUCCACUUUCUCUGCUGCUUUGCAUGUGAUCCCUCCAGGUAUGCAAAAUAAUGCCUCAAUAUCAUUUUGACCUGUGUUGUCAUUUUACAUAUUUUAUCAGAAGACUUCAUAUCGGAUGGAAGCAAAUCUUUAGAAGGGUUGUUAUAACAACUUGAACAGCCCAUCAUGCUCUAGGCAUGCUCCCUAUCACGGCUAUGUUUUCAUUCAUUAGAGAUGGAGGAGGAGGCGGCUUAAAAUGUGUAAUUCUAAUCACCUAUUCCUACAGCUCUCUAACUGGUCUCCGUGGCUUCUCUUGCCUUCCUCCAGUCUUGCCCGUGAACCUUGAUUAGAGGACAACACAACACUAACAGCCACUCCUCCCUCUCCCUCCUGACUCCUUAUUUGAGUUAGAGGCUCUCGUAACACCUGCGUCUUCCCCUUUGUCAGCAGUCAUCACAACGAAUUGUGAUUGCCUAUUUACUCAUCUGCAUCUCCCACUGAAUUCUGAUCCAUGGUGGCUGGCCCAUGCCUGUCUUGUGUACAUUUGCAUGUAAACCACUUAACCCAAGUGCCAGGAAGCAAACAGUACACGCAGGUGUGUGGAGUGAUUGAAAGCUAAUUUGCUACCUAAGAAUGUACAGUGAUUCCUCAGUGUUUAUUAGAUCAGGCCCAGACUCUUCAUUUCAGUUUUCAACUCCUCUGAUUUUUCUUUUAUACAAGCUUUCAGAUCUCCUCUUGGUUCUCAUCUAGCUCUUGCAUCUUUAUGCCGUGGGUUGAUUCCUCUGCCUGCCUAUCUGUAGUAGCUUGUCUCCUAGGAUGGCUGCCAUCAAUUUCUUCUCUUCUGUAUACACAUGCCACUCCCGCAUUGAGAGAUGGAGUCUUCUUUCCCCCUGGAAUCUGGUCUGGCCUGUGACUAAUUUCAAUAAUAGAAUCUUGCAUUUCUAUUGAAACUACCAAAAAAAAAAAAUUGUGUCAGCUACUACAGCUACUAAGUUUUGGGAUGGUUUGUUAUAUGGCAAUAGAUAUCCUCAAUACCAUUCUUCAAAGUCCCAAACCUACAUUUUCUGUGAAGCCUUACCUUGCUAGUCUAGUUAACACUGAUCUCCUCCUUCUCUGAAGUUCUGUGGGAAUAGAACUUUGUUGAUGCCACACAUUUUGUUAUCCAACUGUAUGUAUUAUUACUUUUCCUUUCCUGAAUGCCAGUAUGAACUCCAUGACCAAAUUAUAUGGUCUUUGAAGAUACCAAAUAGUGGAAAUAGGUCUUUUGUAAUCCCUUCAACAAGUCCUAGUACUGAAUAAAAAUGUAAUGGCUGUUGAAUUGGAUUAAAAGUAAAAAUAUUCUUGGCCAUUUUAGCUCUCUGCCAAUUAUUUUGACUUUUCUUCACAGUAUCUUUGAGCGCAUUCUUUCAUAUCAUGAUUAUAAAAAGCAUGUGUGGCAGCAGGCAGCCCUUAGGAUCCUUCCCCCUGCAGACAGUCUGUGACAGUGCAGUGGUUCUCAAAACGUGGACCAGGAGCAGCAGCACCAGCACCUGGGAACCUGUUAGAAAUGCAAAUGCUUGGGCCUACCCCAAAUCUACUGAAAGAGAAGUCCUGGGGGUGGAGCCCAGCAUUCUGUUUCACCAAGCUUUCCAGAUAAUUCUGAUGCAUAUUAAAGGAUGAGAAUCAUUCUAGUGGUGGAAAGAGUCCUGGUUUAAGGUUAGAAGGUCUAGGAGUUUUUGGUCCUAACACAUUUUGGUCCUGAUGCUUAUGUAUCAAUGAGAAAGUUACUUAACUUCCCUGAGCCUCUCCUUCCUCAUCUGUGUUACGAUAAUCCUAACCCUGAGAUGGGAGAGUGUCUUAGUUCAUUUUUUUUGCUAUGAAGGAAUACCUCAGACUGGGUAACUUAUAAAGAAAAGAGGUUUGUUUUGACUCAUGGUUCUGCAAACUAUACAAGAAGGAUACUGCUGGCAUCUGCUUCUGCAAAGGCAUCAAGAAGUCUACGAUCACAGCGUAAGGCAAAGAGGGAGCAGGUAUGUUACACAGCAGGAGAGGGAGCAAAAAAAAAAUGGACAGGUUCUUUUUUUUUCUUUCUUUUUUUUUUUUUUCUUUUUGCCAGACGGAGUCUCGCUCUGUUGCCCAGGUUGGAGUGCAGUGGUGCAAUCUUGGCUCACUGCAAGCUCCACCUCCCGGGUUCACUCCAUUCUCCUGCCUCAGCCUCCCAAGUAGCUGGGACUACAGGUGCCCGCCACCACGGCCGGCUAGUUUUUUGUAUUUUUAGUAGAGACAGGGUUUCACCAUGUUAGCCAGGAUGGUCUUGAUCUCCUGACCUCGUGAUCUGCCCGCCUCGGCCUCCCAAAGUGCUGGGAUUACAGGCGUGAGCCACUGCGGCCGGCCAAAAACAGACAGGUUCUUAAACAACCAGCUCUCACAUGAACUAAUACAGUGAGAACUCACUUAUUACUGUGGGGAAGGCACCAAGGCAUUCAUGAGGGAUCCACCCUCAUGACCAAAACACUUCCCCCCACCUCCAACAUGGGGGGUCAUAUUUCAACAUGAGAUUUGGAGGUGACAAACAUCCAAACUAUGUCAGAGAGUCAAGUGAAAUCUCUUUUUUUUUUUUUUUUUUUUUUUUGAGAUGGAGUCUCACUCUGUCACCCAGGCUGGAGUGCAGUGGCGGGAUCGCGGCUUAUUGCAAGCUCCGCCUCCCGGGUUCACGCCAUUCUCCUGCCUCAGCCACCUGAGUAGCUGGGACUACAGGCGCCCGUCACCAUGCCCGGCUAAUUUUUUUGUAUUUUUAGUAGAGACGGGGUUUCUCCGUGUUAACCAGGAUGGUCUCAAUCUCCU